GGGGUGUCGGCGGGCGGCCGCGGCCGGGUCUAGCGGUGCCUGCGGAAGAAGGAGGAGGAGGGCUGGCGAUGAGAAGCAGCAGGGGGAAUCAAGGGCAAGAAGGGACCCAGAGGGGCAGGUGGCUGAGAUGCUGGCGUCCAGGUGACCCGAGGAAUCCUCUGGAGAUACAGGCCCGCGCAUGCGCGUGCUCGAGCGCUGAAGCCCAUUGCCCGCAGGGCGCUGGACUGGCGCCCCGGCCGGCGAGGCUGUCUAGUCCAGGCUCCAGGCCCCGGCUCUGGCCAGGCGCCGCCGCCUCCCGGUGCAGCUGAAAGUCGACGAAGAGGGCGGGGCGGGGGCGGCUUGUGGACUUCCACACUUUUCCUCUCUUCGGGCCAGUCUGGGGAGAGGGUGGCUAGCUGUGGCGGCGGCCAAUUACGUGGCGGACCUGCGGGGCUAAGCUGGCACGUCACUUCCGACUAGUGGAGUUUUUAGCCUUUUAACAUUCAAGGAUUAGAGCUCCCUCUUUGCCCACUAGCAGGGCAUUAGCUGGUGCUGAAGACAGUGGCUGCUUGGCGAGCCUGGAUCUCCAAGUGACCCCCUCAGCAACUCCUGAUGAACAGGACUGAAGCCAAUAUUAAAGCAAGUCAACCAAAGGUUCUCUGGUGUAGACAAGACAGCAAAAGGACAGACUACCUUGUGGAACCUAGCAUUGUUCUCCUUCUGCAGCACUAAGUAACAUUUGUUCUCCGUUAAGAUCUUUGCAAACCACACACAAGAAUUGCUGGUCAUCCUGCCAAUAGAUGCUGCUCACAGAACCAAAUUUCCUGUGCUGAAUUGUCACUCAUGGGCUUGAGAGUAGGAGACUGGAGACCAAGGUGGCUAGAAUCCAGUUGGGCCUGAUGUCUCCCUGUUGAAAGGGCUCCUUGUGGAAUGAAUAGCACAUGGCUCCUGUGGUGGAUCUGAUAGUGGCAUAGCACCAAGUGAUGCAGGCCUGCCAGGGGCCACAGACACAGAAGAUGCUCCCGGGGUCCCCCAUGUACUCCAGACACACUGCAGGCCACCUCUCCCAGCAGGUUGCCAGUCAUGGGCCCCAUCAUCAUGACUUCUGUCCAAGGGACUUGCACUUAGGAAUCUGUUACAGUGAGCACAGAAGCAGACCUGUGGGCUCAUAGUCUUCACCCCCCACCCAUAUAUACAAGAUGAACAGAGUGGAGGUUAAACAACUUGACUAAACAACACAGUUCAUGGUAAAGCCCAAGACUGUACCUGCCCAUCCACUGCCUUUUCCAUGUAUCCUGGAACUGAGCAUAGACCUCUUCCCAGGCAGAGCUGACAGCAAGUAAAGGAGAUCAUAAUCAGGGGACCAAACAACUUUGUCUAAAGUGUGAAUGUCACCUAAGGAGAAGCUGUGAGAUCAGAAGGGUGGGGCAGAGGAGCAGACACCAUGAGGGAGAGUCCUUGGGGGUACAUCUGCCAGACUGACACUGUCUGGCCUGGGCAGUGGAGGGGCUAGCAGGAACCACAGGUACUGGUGGUGUGGCUACUACCGUUACAACUGCCUGUGCUUGGACAUGGACCCUCUGCAAUAUGCGGCAGUUUCAUUCAUUGCCCCCUACAUUCUACACCAAGUAGAAAUGGAAGGCAAUUGGAUACUUCACAGACAAGAUCUAAGUGGAGAAGGAAUGCGUCCUGUGGCUGCAGAGAUCCUUGGAGCUUGGAGGGGAGAGCUUGAGCCCCACUGAUGAUGACCUCCCACAGCUCGCCAACUCAGCCCUCCCUAAGUCCCCAUCGGGGGCCAAUUCUCACUCUGGGGUUGGGGGGACUCCACCAUAGCUCAUCCAUCAUAGGGAUGUUGGUAUCUACUGUGGGUUGGGUAGGGCCGAUGUGCUGAGGAUGGCUCCCCCACAAGCAAGAGAUGUGGAUUUGGGGAGCUUCCCAUCUUGUGUUGAAGGAACAUAACUCAGAAUAAUAAGAGCCAACUAUAACAAACCCACAGCCAACAUCAUACUGAAUGGGCAAAAGCUGCAGGCAUUCCCCUUGAAAAGUGGCACAGGAUAAGGAAGCCCUUUCUCACCACUCCUAUUCAAUAUAGUGUUGAAAGUCCUGAUCACAGCAGUCAGGCAACAGAAAUAAUAAAGGGCAUCCAAAUAGGAAGAGAGGAAGUCAAACUAUCCUUGUUUGCAGACAGUAUGAUUCUAUAUCUAGAAAACCCCAUAGCCUCAGCCCAAAAGGUCCUUCAUCUGAUAAUUUCAGCAAAGUUUCAGGAGACAAAAUCAGUGUACAAAAAUCACUAACAUUCCUAUACACAGUCGCCAAGCCAAGAGCCAAAUCAGGAGCACAAUCCCAUUCAUAAUUGCCACAAAAAAGAAUAAAAUACCCAGGAAUGCAGCUAACCAAGGAAGUAAAGGAUCUCUACAAUGAGAAUCACAAACGCUGCUCAAAGAAAUCAGAGAUGACACAAACAAAUGGAAAAACUUUCCAUGCUCAUGGCUAGGAAGAAUCAAUAUCAUUAAAGUGGCCAUACUACCCAAAGCAAUUUAUAGAUUCAAUGCUAUUCCUAUCAAACUAUCAAUUACAUUUUUCACAGAACUAGAAAAAACUUAAAAUUCAUAUGGAACCAAAAAGCCUGAGUAGUCAAGGCAAUCCUAAACAAAAAGAACAAAGGUGGAGGCAUCACAUUACCUAACUUCAAACUACAGGGCUACCAUGACCAAAACAGCAUGGUACUGGUACAAAAGCAGACACACAGACCAGUGGGACAGAAUAGAGAGCCCAAAAAUAAGGCCACAAACCUACAGCCAUCUGAUCUUCAACAAAGUUGACAAAAACAAGCAAUGGGGAAAGGUCUCCCUAUUCAAUAAAUGGUGCUGGGAUAACUGGCUGGCCAUAUGCAGAAGAUCGUAACUGGACCCCUUUUACUAUGUACAAAAAUUAAGAUGGUUUAAAGAGUUAAAACCCAAAAUUAUAAAAAUCCUGAAGAUAACUUAGGCAAUACCAUUCUGGACAUAGGAACUGGCAAAUAUUUCAUGAUGAAGACACCAAAAGCAAUUGUAACAAAAGCAAAAAUGGACAAAUUGGAUUUAAGAGCUUUUUCAUAGCAAAAUAAACAACAGGGCAGACAAUCUACCAAAUGACAGAAAAUUUUUGCAAACUAUGCAUCUGACAAGGGGCUAAUAUCUAGCAUCUAUAAGGAAUUUAAACACAGUUACAGGAAAAAAAAAACCCACUCCAUUAAAAAAUGGGCAAAGGACAUGAACAGACACUUUUCAAAAAAGACAUACAUACAGCCAACUAGCGUGUUAAAGAAAACCUCAAUUAUCACUGAUCAUUAGAGAAAUGCAAAAUCAAAACCAUGAUGAGAUAUCAUCUGCCAGUCAGGAUGGCUACAAAAAAGUAAAAAAAUAAUAGAUGUUGGUGAGGUUAUGGAGAAAAGGAACUUAUACACUUGUUAGGAGUGUAAAUUAGUUCAAUCACUGUGGACAGCAGUGUGGUGAUUCCUCAGAGAGCUAAAAACAACUACCAUUUGACUCACCAAUCCCAUUACUGGAUAUUUACCUAAAGGAAUAUAAAUCAUUCCACCAUAAAGACACAUGCAAGUGUAUGUUCAUUGCAGCACUAUUAACAGUAACAAAGCUGGGCACAGUGGCUCACCUCACGACUGUAAUCCCAGCACUUUGGGAGGCUGAGGUAGGCGGAUCACCUGAGGUCGGCAGUUUGAGACCAGCCUGACCAACAUGGAGAGACCCCAUCUCUACUAAAAAUACAAAAUUAGCCAGGUGUGGUGGCUCAUGCCUGUAAUCCCAGCUACUUGGGAGGCCAAGGCAGGAGAAUUGCUUGAACCCAGGAGGCAGAGGUUGCAGUGAGCCGAGAUCACACCAUUGCACUCUAGCCUGGUGAAGGAGCAAGACUCCAUCUCAAA
This 3898-nucleotide long non-coding RNA is filed under the name Homo sapiens (human). RNAcentral describes it as "HLA complex group 18". The record is from RNAcentral. Lineage: Eukaryota; Metazoa; Chordata; Mammalia; Primates; Hominidae.